This 73-nucleotide transfer RNA is filed under the name Streptomyces albus. RNAcentral describes it as "tRNA-Arg". It matches the Rfam family "tRNA". Rfam says of the family: Transfer RNA (tRNA) molecules are approximately 80 nucleotides in length. Their secondary structure includes four short double-helical elements and three loops (D, anti-codon, and T loops). Further hydrogen bonds mediate the characteristic L-shaped molecular structure. tRNAs have two regions of fundamental functional importance: the anti-codon, which is responsible for specific mRNA codon recognition, and the 3' end, to which the tRNAs corresponding amino acid is attached (by aminoacyl-tRNA synthetases). tRNAs cope with the degeneracy of the genetic code in two manners: having more than one tRNA (with a specific anti-codon) for a particular amino acid; and 'wobble' base-pairing, i.e. permitting non-standard base-pairing at the 3rd anti-codon position. Lineage: Bacteria; Bacillati; Actinomycetota; Actinomycetes; Kitasatosporales; Streptomycetaceae. The record is from RNAcentral. RNAcentral also lists the same sequence under 6 other names.
GCCCCCGUAGCUCAGGGGAUAGAGCAACGGCCUCCGGAGCCGUGUGCGCAGGUUCGAAUCCUGCCGGGGGUAC